This is a long non-coding RNA of Scomber japonicus (chub mackerel), 359 nucleotides long. RefSeq lists it as uncharacterized. Lineage: Eukaryota; Metazoa; Chordata; Actinopteri; Scombriformes; Scombridae. The record is from RefSeq and is a predicted model, not a curated record. The transcript has 3 exons.
CACUGUUAAAGUAUUUUGGAGGAGGCAGUGACUCAGCCCAGGGGCAAUCCACCUCCUCAUGAGCAGCCCAGGCUGAUGAAUCAGGUAAUCGAAAAACUGUCACCAUAUAUAUUUAAUUUCUAGUCAAAUUAUCUCAUUAAGAUGUAAUAAUAUAAGAUAUAAUCAUAUGACAAGGGACAUUUUUUCAUCUCAGGUCCAUCUCUAUCCUCUGCUACAUCCACUGUGCCCACUGUCCUCUCUGCAACCUCAGCUGUACCUGGUCCAUCUCUAUCCUCUGCUACAUCCACUGUGCCCACUGUCCUCUCUGCAACCUCAGCUGUACCUGGUCCUUCAUCUUUGGUCAUCGAGAUUGAUGUGUC